RNAcentral lists this ribosomal RNA (465 nucleotides) under uncultured bacterium. RNAcentral's name for it is "bacterial SSU rRNA". It matches the Rfam family "Bacterial small subunit ribosomal RNA", at positions 330 to 794 of the family's 1533-position model. The record is from RNAcentral.
GCCAGACUCCUACGGGAGGCAGCAGUGAGGAAUAUUGGUCAAUGGGCUUACGCCUGAACCAGCCAAGUCGCGUGAGGGAGUACUGCCCUAUGGGUUGUAAACCUCUUUUGUCGGGGAGCAAAAGCCGGACGUGUCCGGCUGUGAGAGUACCCGAAGAAAAAGCAUCGGCUAACUCCGUGCCAGCAGCCGCGGUAAUACGGAGGAUGCGAGCGUUAUCCGGAUUUAUUGGGUUUAAAGGGUGCGUAGGCGGAAUGCCAAGUCAGCGGUAAAAUCGCGGGGCUCAACCUCGCUCCGCCGUUGAAACUGGCGUUCUUGAGUGGGCGAGAAGUAUGCGGAAUGCGUGGUGUAGCGGUGAAAUGCAUAGAUAUCACGCAGAACUCCGAUUGCGAAGGCAGCAUACCGGCGCCCAACUGACGCUGAAGCACGAAAGCGUGGGUAUCGAACAGGAUUAGAUACCCUUGUAGU